Molecule: ribosomal RNA, 590 nt
Filed under: Carabus lusitanicus helluo
Lineage: Eukaryota; Metazoa; Arthropoda; Insecta; Coleoptera; Carabidae
Also listed under: 3 other names
Description: partial large subunit ribosomal RNA
Rfam family: Bacterial large subunit ribosomal RNA
Source: RNAcentral
UUUUAAAUGGCCGCAGUAUUUUGACUGUGCAAAGGUAGCAUAAUCAUUAGUUUUUUAAUUAAAAGCUUGUAUGAAAGGCUGGACGAGGUAAAAUCUGUCUCUAUUUAAAUUAUAGUAGAAUUUAACUUUUAAGUUAAAAGGCUUAAAUGUUAUUAAAAGACGAGAAGACCCUAUAGAUCUUUAUAAUUUAUUAAAUUAAAUUAAUUUAGAAAUAUUAAUGUUUUAUUUAAUUAAGUUAUUUUAUUGGGGUAAUAAAAAGAUUGAAUUAAUUCUUUUUUAUAAUAAACAUUAAUUUAUGAAUAUUAAUGAUCCAGUUUUACUGAUUAUAAGAUUAAGUUACCUUAGGGAUAACAGCGUAAUUUUUUUAGAGAGUUCAUAUCGAUAAAAAAGUUUGCGACCUCGAUGUUGGAUUAAAGAUUAUUUUAGGUGUAGAAGCUUAAUAAUUUUGGUCUGUUCGACCAUUAAAUCUUUACAUGAUCUGAGUUCAGACCGGCGUAAGCCAGGUCGGUUUCUAUCUUUAAUAAAAUAAAAUAUUUUAGUACGAAAGGACCAAAUAUUUAAUAUAUUUAUAUUUAAUUUAUUGAAUAUUA